AAGACUAAGCAUGGAUGCAGCUGGUGGACACAGCCCCAGUCUGCCCAAGAAGGAGAGGGAAUGUCAUAAUGGAAAGAACACUGGAGUGCACAGUCAGGAGGCAUGAAUUCUAUCAAGGUCUGACUCUGCCACUAACUUGUGGUUUACCUUGAGCAAAGGGGCUGGCUAAGGAAGGAGGAUGAGUCAAAA
This is a non-coding RNA of Phascolarctos cinereus (koala), 189 nucleotides long. Lineage: Eukaryota; Metazoa; Chordata; Mammalia; Diprotodontia; Phascolarctidae. The record is from RefSeq and is a predicted model, not a curated record.